Molecule: ribosomal RNA, 157 nt
Filed under: Polyporus cf. grammocephalus 1 KH-2011
Lineage: Eukaryota; Fungi; Basidiomycota; Agaricomycetes; Polyporales; Polyporaceae
Description: 5.8S ribosomal RNA
Rfam family: 5.8S ribosomal RNA
About the family: 5.8S ribosomal RNA (5.8S rRNA) is a component of the large subunit of the eukaryotic ribosome. It is transcribed by RNA polymerase I as part of the 45S precursor that also contains 18S and 28S rRNA. Functionally, it is thought that 5.8S rRNA may be involved in ribosome translocation.
Source: RNAcentral
AACUUUCAGCAACGGAUCUCUUGGCUCUCGCAUCGAUGAAGAACGCAGCGAAAUGCGAUAAGUAAUGUGAAUUGCAGAAUUCAGUGAAUCAUCGAAUCUUUGAACGCACCUUGCGCUCCUUGGUAUUCCGAGGAGCACACCUGUUUGAGUGUCGUGU